UUUAUUUCUCAUUUUUCUUUUCUUUUCAUUUUUACCCUUUUCGUAGUCUUUUCAUUCUCAUUUCCAUAUCACACAACUAGUUCUUCAAUUAUUUUUUUCUUUCACACAACCAUGAUGCAUAUAAAAUGCAAUAAACUCACAUGUCAUCAUCCACAAUUUUCCAGGAUAUAAUUUUUAUUUACUCCAAACAUGCUCAAUAAUCCAACAACCAACACAAUAAUUUAUCUUCAAUUAAAUCACCACAAACAUGAAAAAAAAUUCACAAUAAUU
Molecule: long non-coding RNA, 270 nt
Filed under: Vitis vinifera (wine grape)
Lineage: Eukaryota; Viridiplantae; Streptophyta; Magnoliopsida; Vitales; Vitaceae
Description: long non-coding RNA (VVIN_LNC004629)
Source: RNAcentral